Molecule: non-coding RNA, 375 nt
Organism: Hyla sarda
Lineage: Eukaryota; Metazoa; Chordata; Amphibia; Anura; Hylidae
Source: the annotation of a RefSeq genome assembly
AUGGUUUCCCUGAGAUCUCUGCUCUGUGUCCUGUAUAUGUACAUACAAGGAUCCUGUGGAGAGAUUGUGAUCACUCAGACUCCAGGAUACAUUUCAGUGUCACCCGGAGAAGAUGUCACCAUGUCUUGUACAGUCAGUCAAAGUAUCUACAACACCGACUGGAAAGUCGACGUCUUAGGCUGGUACCAACAAAAACCAGGACAACCUCCUAGGUGUCUUAUCUAUGAUGCUACUAAAAGAUUAGGUGGGAUCCCAGAGAGAUUCACUGGAUCCGGAUCUGGAACAUAUUUCACUCUUACAAUCAGAGGAGCGACAGAAGAUGAUGUAGGAGAUUAUUUCUGUUACCAGUGGAAAAGUUUCCCUCUCACACAGUGA